Molecule: ribosomal RNA, 465 nt
Filed under: uncultured bacterium
Lineage: Bacteria
Description: partial 16S ribosomal RNA
Rfam family: Bacterial small subunit ribosomal RNA
Source: RNAcentral
CCUACGGGUGGCAGCAGUAGGGAAUCUUCCACAAUGGGCGAAAGCCUGAUGGAGCAACGCCGCGUGGGUGAAGAAGGUCUUCGGAUCGUAAAGCCCUGUUGUUAGAGAAGAACGUGCGUGAGAGUGACUGUUCACGUUUCGACGGUAUCUAACCAGAAAGCCACGGCUAACUACGUGCCAGCAGCCGCGGUAAUACGUAGGUGGCAAGCGUUAUCCGGAUUUUUUGGGCGUAAAGGGAACGCAGGCGGUCUUUUAAGUCUGAUGUUAAAGCCUUCGGGUUAACCGGAGUAGUGCAUUGGAAACUGGGAGACUUGAGUGCAGAAGAGGAGAGUGGAACUCCAUGUGUAGCGGUGAAAUGCGUAGAUAUAUGGAAGAACACCAGUGGCGAAAGCGGCUCUCUGGUCUGUAACUGACGCUGAGGUUCGAAAGCGUGGGUAGCAAACAGGAUUAGAUACCCCUGUAGUC